This 500-nucleotide ribosomal RNA is filed under the name uncultured bacterium. RNAcentral's name for it is "partial 16S ribosomal RNA". It matches the Rfam family "Bacterial small subunit ribosomal RNA", at positions 30 to 523 of the family's 1533-position model. The record is from RNAcentral.
AUUGAACGCUGGCGGAAUGCUUUACACAUGCAAGUCGAACGGCAGCACGGACUUCGGUCUGGUGGCGAGUGGCGAACGGGUGAGUAAUGUAUCGGAACGUGCCCAGUCGUGGGGGAUAACGUAGUGAAAGUUACGCUAAUACCGCAUACGAUCUAUGGAUGAAAGCGGGGGAUCGCAAGACCUCGCGCGAUUGGAGCGGCCGAUAUCAGAUUAGGUAGUUGGUGGGGUAAAGGCCCACCAAGCCAACGAUCUGUAGCUGGUCUGAGAGGACGACCAGCCACACUGGAACUGAGACACGGUCCAGACUCCUACGGGAGGCAGCAGUGGGGAAUUUUGGACAAUGGGCGAAAGCCUGAUCCAGCCAUUCCGCGUGCAGGAUGAAGGCCCUCGGGUUGUAAACUGCUUUUGUACAGAACGAAAGGGUCCGGGCUAAUACCCUGGGCUAAUGACGGUACCGUAAGAAUAAGCACCGGCUAACUACGUGCCAGCCGCCGCAGUAA